GAUGAACGCUGGCGGCGUGCCUAAUACAUGCAAGUCGAGCGAACGGACGAGAAGCUUGCUUUUCUGAUGUUAGCGGCGGACGGGUGAGUAACACGUGGAUAACCUACCUUUAAGACUGGGAUAACUUCGGGAAACCGGAGCUAAUACCGGAUAAUAUUUUGAACCGCAUGGUUCAAAAGUGAAAGACGGUCUUGCUGUCACUUAUAGAUGGAUCCGCGCUGCAUUAGCUAGUUGGUAAGGUAACGGCUUACCAAGGCAACGAUGCAUAGCCGACCUGAGAGGGUGAUCGGCCACACUGGAACUGAGACACGGUCCAGACUCCUACGGGAGGCAGCAGUAGGGAAUCUUCCGCAAUGGGCGAAGGCCUGACGGAGCAACGCCGCGUGAGUGAUGAAGGUCUUCGGAUCGUAAAACUCUGUUAUUAGGGAAGAACAUAUGUGUAAGUAACUGUGCACAUCUUGACGGUACCUAAUCAGAAAGCCACGGCUAACUACGUG
RNAcentral lists this ribosomal RNA (497 nucleotides) under uncultured bacterium. RNAcentral's name for it is "partial 16S ribosomal RNA". It matches the Rfam family "Bacterial small subunit ribosomal RNA", at positions 28 to 507 of the family's 1533-position model. The record is from RNAcentral.